Molecule: ribosomal RNA, 465 nt
Filed under: Vreelandella stevensii
Lineage: Bacteria; Pseudomonadati; Pseudomonadota; Gammaproteobacteria; Oceanospirillales; Halomonadaceae
Description: partial 16S ribosomal RNA
Rfam family: Bacterial small subunit ribosomal RNA
Source: RNAcentral
CCUACGGGCGGCUGCAGUGGGGAAUAUUGGACAAUGGGGGGAACCCUGAUCCAGCCAUGCUGCGUGUGUGAAGAAGGCCCUCGGGUUGUAAAGCACUUUCAGUGAGGAAGAACGCCUGGUGGUUAAUACCCAUCAGGAAAGACAUCACUCACAGAAGAAGCACCGGCUAACUCCGUGCCAGCAGCCGCGGUAAUACGGAGGGUGCGAGCGUUAAUCGGAAUUACUGGGCGUAAAGCGCGCGUAGGUGGCUUGAUAAGCCGGUUGUGAAAGCCCCGGGCUCAACCUGGGAACGGCAUCCGGAACUGUCAAGCUAGAGUGCAGGAGAGGAAGGUAGAAUUCCCGGUGUAGCGGUGAAAUGCGUAGAGAUCGGGAGGAAUACCAGUGGCGAAGGCGGCCUUCUGGACUGACACUGACACUGAGGUGCGAAAGCGUGGGUAGCAAACAGGAUUAGAUACCCCUGUAGUC